UCUGGUGUCAGCCGCCGCGGUAAAACCAGCACCUCAAGUGGUCAGGAUGAUUAUUGGGCCUAAAGCAUCCGUAGCCUGCUUUGUUAGUUUUCGGUUAAAUCCAUACGCUCAACGUAUGGGCUGCCGGGAAUACUGCAAAGCUAGGGAGGGGGAGAGGUAGACGGUACUCGGUAGGAAGGGGUAAAAUCCUUUGAUCUAUUGAUGACCACCUGUGGCGAAGGCGGUCUACCAGAACACGUCCGACGGUGAGGGAUGAAAGCUGGGGGAGCAAACCGGAUUAGAUACCCGGGUAGUCCCAGCUGUAAACUAUGCAAACUCGGUGAUGCAUUGGCUUGAUGCCAAUGCAGUGCCGCAGGGAAGCCGUUAAGUUUGCCGCCUGGGAAGUACGUACGCAAGUAUGAAACUUAAAGGAAUUGGCGGGGGAGCACCACAAGGGGUGAAGCCUGCGGUUCAAUUGGAGUCAACGCCAGAAAUCUUACCCGGAGAGACAGCAGAAUGAAGGUCAAGCUGAAGACUUUACCAGACAAGCU
Molecule: ribosomal RNA, 530 nt
Filed under: uncultured Nitrososphaerota archaeon
Lineage: Archaea; Thermoproteati; Nitrososphaerota
Description: bacterial SSU rRNA
Rfam family: Archaeal small subunit ribosomal RNA
Source: RNAcentral